This 2453-nucleotide ribosomal RNA is filed under the name Candidatus Jorgensenbacteria bacterium GW2011_GWA2_45_9. RNAcentral describes it as "bacterial SSU rRNA". It matches the Rfam family "Bacterial small subunit ribosomal RNA". The record is from RNAcentral. Lineage: Bacteria; Candidatus Joergenseniibacteriota.
UGAGGAUUUGAUCCUGGUCCAGGAUGAACGUUGGCGGCGUGGAUAAGGCAUGCAAGUCGAACGGGCCAGUGCGUAGCACUGGAAUGACGAUCCGCCGGUUGGCGGAUGGAAAUUCCACUGCUAUGCAGUGGCUAGUGGCAAACGAGCUAGUAACACCUUGGUACCUACCUCCGAGAUGGGAAUAAUCUUGCGAAAGCAGGACUAAUACCCAAUGGCGCCAUACGCAUCUCACUAAGGUGAGAUGCGAAUUCGAAAUUUAAAAUUUGAAAUUCGAAAUGAAUGAAUCAAUUAUAAAAUUGAAUAAUUAAAAAUUCAUUAAAAAUUUCAAACUAAAAAUUAAAAAUUCGCACAGAACUUUAGUGAGGUGCGGGUGGCUAAAGGUUCGCAAGAACCGCUCGGUGAUGGGCCUAGGUCCGAUCAGCUAGUUGGUAGGGUAACGGCCUACCAAGGCUACGACCGGUAGGGGAGGUGAGAGCCUGUUCCCCAGCGAGGAAACUGAGACACGGUUCCUACUCCUACGGGAGGCAGCAGUCGAGAAUAUUCCACAAUGGGCGAAAGCCUGAUGGAGCGACGCCGCGUGCAGGAUGAAGCUUUUCGGAGUGUAAACUGCUUUUCUAAGGGAAGAAGCCGGUGCUUCGCACUGGAAUGACGAAUUUAGAAUUUCGAUUGAAUUUCAGAAUGUUUUAAAAAUUAACUCAUUCAAGAAUUCAUUUAAAAUUCAAAAUUAAAAAUUGGAAAUUCCAAUGCGGAGCAUUGGUUGACGGUACUUUAGGAAUAAGUCACUGCUAACUACGUGCCAGCAGCCGCGGUAAUACGUAGGUGGCAAACGUUAUCCGGAUUUAUUGGGCGUAAAGGGCGCGUAGGGGGCGCAGGCAAGUCCGUAGUUAAAUCUCGGGGCUCAACUCCGAAACCGCUACGGAAACUACCGCGCUAGAGGACGUUAGAGGUAGAUGGAACGCACGGUGUAGGGGUGAAAUCCGUUGAUAUCGUGCGGAACACCAAAGGCGAAGGCAUUCUACUGGGACGUUCCUGACCCUGAGGCGCGAAAGCGUGGGGAGCAAAAAGGAUUAAGUGUUUUUGUUUUAUAUUCACAAAUAAUUCUUCGUUUGUUAUAAACCGGAAUAAUUUUUAUUUUUCGUUUUCACGAAAAAUAUUGAACUCAACCCCUCGACGAGCUCGGGGGAUUCAAACAGCAAUAUUUUUCUAACUUCAAAUAAAAAUUAUUACGCGAUUUAUGAAACAAAUUCAGAAAAUAUUUGUUCAAUAAAACAAAAACCCACCUGAGGGUAGGUGGAAAAUAGUCCCUCCGCCGAUUGGCGGAGAUAACUCAGCUAUAUGCUGGAACACCCGAGUAUCCAACGAUACCGAAAGGUAAAAAUGCGUUGGUGCGGGCAAUCAGCAGGGAAGUCGUAAUUGACCCCUCAGAGACUAUACGCAGAGCCCGUUGCGGAGCAACGGAAUUACGAAUUUAGAAUUUCGAAUUUUGGUUGAGCAUCCAAUUAAAAAUUUGAAAUUAAAAAUUAGGAAUUCCGCGCUUUGCGCGGUGAAGAUAUAGUCCGACCUCCGUGGCGACACGGAGAGAUGAACAGAAAUGAUUCAUCCCGCGACAAUGUUUGUAAUUUUGAUUUUGAAUUUGUUUUAAAAUUUGAAAUUAAAAAUUAAAAAUUGCACUUUGUCGCGAAGCAACAAACGUGUAGAUACCCUUGUAGUCCACGCCCUAAACGAUGUUCACUAGCUGUUUCGAGUAUCGACCCUCGGGGUGGCGUAGCUAACGCGUUAAGUGAACCGCCUGGGAAGUACGAGCGCAAGCUUAAAACUCAAAGGAAUAGACGGGGACUCGCACAAGCGGUGUGGUAUGUGGUUUAAUUCGAUGGUAAACGAGAAACCUCACCAGGGCUUGAAAUCCCGACGAAGACAGUCCGAAAGGAUUGUUGUCCGCAAGGACGGCGGGACAGGUGCUGCAUGGUUGCCGUCAGCUCGUGCCGUGAGGCGUUCCCUUAAGUGGGGUAACGAGCGCAACCCCUAUCCGGUGUUACAAGUGUCACCGGAAACCGCCCCCUCUUUUGCAUCCGACGUUUUGUAUGUCGGAAUCAAAAGAGGGGGAGGAAGGCGGGGAUGACGUCAAAUCAGCAUGGCCCUUUGAUGCCCUGGGCUACACACAUGCUACAAUGGCGGAUACAAUGGGAAGCCAAGCCGUAAGGCGGAGCUAAUCCCAUCAAAGUCCGCCCCAGUUCGGAUUGAGGGCUGCAACUCGCCCUCAUGAAGCCGGAAUCGCUAGUAAUCGCGGAUCAGAACGCCGCGGUGAAUACGUUCUCGAGUCCUGUACUCACCGCCCGUCAAACCAAGGGAGCCGGGAGUGGGUGAAGCCCCCUCUUUAGAGGGUGUUAGCUCAAGUUCGGUGACACGGGUUAAGUCGUAACAAGGCACGGGUAGCGGAAGCUGUUCGUGGAUCA